GACGAACGCUGGCGGCGUGCCUAAUACAUGCAAGUAGAACGCUGAAGAGAGGAGCUUGCUCUUCUUGGAUGAGUUGCGAACGGGUGAGUAACGCGUAGGUAACCUGCCUUGUAGCGGGGGAUAACUAUUGGAAACGAUAGCUAAUACCGCAUAACAAUGGAUGACACAUGUCAUUUAUUUGAAAGGGGCAAUUGCUCCACUACAAGAUGGACCUGCGUUGUAUUAGCUAGUAGGUGAGGUAAUGGCUCACCUAGGCGACGAUACAUAGCCGACCUGAGAGGGUGAUCGGCCAAACUGGGACGGGGACACGGCCCAGAAUCCUACGGGAGGCAGCAGUAGGGAAUCUUCGGCAAUGGGGGCAACCCUGAACGAGCAACGCCGCGUGAGUGAAGAAGGUUGUCGGAUCGUAAAGCUCUGUUGUAAGUCAAGAACGGGUGUGAGAGUGGAAAGUUCACACUGUGACGGUAGCUGAACAGAAAGGGACGGCUAACUACGUG
RNAcentral lists this ribosomal RNA (497 nucleotides) under uncultured bacterium. RNAcentral describes it as "partial 16S ribosomal RNA". It matches the Rfam family "Bacterial small subunit ribosomal RNA", at positions 28 to 507 of the family's 1533-position model. The record is from RNAcentral.